GAGUUUGCUUCUCAGGCAGUUUCCAGCCUUGCCUUGGCUCUGGGAAGUUUUUCCUGAGAAGCUGUGCAGGCCACAGGCUUGGUUGGACCUGGCUGGGGUUGCUUCUCCUUUAUUGUUUGUACAGAGAUGGGGCACACGUGUGGAGUGAUGUUUUCCUCUGUUGGAUGCUCUAGUCAAGGCAGAAGUCCAAGAAAAGCCAGGCUUUUGCAAUGCAAGCAGAGGUCUGAGCCUGUCCCAGCUCCAGGUCCAGCAGGACUUGGGGGAACCUUAAACUAUGAAGGGCAGUGACACAACACUGCUGUUGGAAUCCAGUCCCCAUGGCCUGCCUGAAACUCUCCAGGGAAACUUCCACAUCCCACAAAAUCAAAGAAGGUCAAACCCUGCCUGGAAGCAACAUAACUUCAUUAUUCCAAGUUCACAGGUGAUAAAUUUGGUGUCCUUGGCCAGAUGUGAGAUAUAUUCAGAGUCAUCUUUACCUAAAGAAACAGUGGUGCUCUUGUUCUGGGCAGAUCCUCAGGUCAUGCCCUCCUUUGCAGCCUUCUGGUCCAGCAGCUGUUGAUGCCUGUGACCCCUUGGUCAUGGGUGCCAUCUCCACUGUGAAUGCAGCUCCUUGAUGAGAGCUAGGAAGUGUCAAAUGAGAUUUCAGUGCAGGGAACAAAAACAUGCAGCUGGAAAAUAAGUCAGGAGGACUUUUCACCAAGGAAAAGGCUCUCUGUGGCUGGGUCUCCUGCCCAGCUCCAAGCUGCUGAACUUCCUUGGCAUCACUCUCCAACCCUCUCUCCCCUCUGUGCUGAUUUGCAGCCCUGUUACAUCUUUGUACACAUGAUCUGAUGUGGCCAGAGAUCCCCCAGCAGCCUUGGUUUUCCUCUGACCCAUCAUAUGGCAGAAAUUUAAGAUGGCUUAAGUAGAUUUUGUUUAUUUAUUCUGCACCUCAGCCAUCAGAGACUGCCAGUGCCAGGGUGUGAAUUACGGUAAAAUAAAUAAAUGCACUAAUUGCUGCUGCUUUAUAUUGGAAAUCAUUCUUGCUUAUGAAAACAUCUCAAAAGGUGUAGAAAGGAGACACAUCUGCUCCAGACCAGGCAAAUCAACUGUCUUAAUGAACCAUUAACACAGGCUGUCAAAAAACCCACUCUGAACCCAGGUGAAGUUCCCACAUUGGUCUCUGAGCUUGGGGUGAAGCUCAUGAUGUUCAUCUUAUUGCAAGCACAGGACUGUUGGUGGAACAGUGUGAACAGAAAUAGAGGAAAAGCAAAGCAAGGGAGAGGUAACUCAAGUUUAUGCCGUGAAGGAAUUCACACCCACUGGAGUUGUAUGCAUGGCUGUAACCACGUUCUGCUGCAGCCCCCGAGCCAAAAAAUUGACAAAAAAAAGAAAGGAUGGGAUGUGGGGAGGAGGGGAAAUGUUAAUCACCAUCUUUCCUUUCCUAUAAAUGUGUUAAUGGUUUAGUAAGUGUUUCCAAAAAUGUCUGUGUGGGAUUAAAAUAGAAGCCAUGGCCAAGUUUGAAAUGAGCUCUUGGAUGGGGAGCAGACAGGAGGGUAAAUCCUGGUGAUCCCAUCCAAGGCACAGGGAAAUGUCCAGCACAGGAGGAUGGAGAGGGUGAAGAGUUUGUGCUGGGAACUUUCUGUUGACUCUUUGGGGAGCUUGGUCAUCCCAGCAAGUGGGAGCAGUGCUCCACAUAAUCAAAAAGUACCACCUACCAAAGCAUGUGAGGGUUGCCAUGGAAAUCAGGAGUUGUUACUGAAAAAGCAGAAAAAUCAUGAAUGAUCUGGAAAAGCAUGGAUUUUUGGAGCUUCCUGUCCUCUGCUAUGUAAAACCCCAGCCCAGACUGUUGAAUUCCUUUCUGGGAGGAUUUUGCCCCUGCUGCUGCAGCUGCACAGGACAGCAGGUUGUACAUGCAUUUAUGGGGGCACAUAACCCACGCUUUUCAUUGCAGCUCUGGCCCACUGACUGCUCCAGAGGAUGGGUAGGAACUGAAACCAGGGAUGGAAAUUACCUGGAUGGAAACCUCUGCUGUGGGUCACAGCAGGGUGUGACACGCCCCAGGCAGAAAAGCCCCCAAAUUAUCCAUGAGUAUCUCAUCUGGAAGGCUUGUCCAGACCUGUUCCCAGGGAAGAGAGUGAACCAGGAGAUAGGAUCAGAAAGCUGGGGACAGACUCCAUAACUCACCAGUGGCUGGUGGAGGAUGCCCUCCAUGCAAAGGGUGGGAGGGGGUGUAACUUGCCAGAGGAUCUGGGAAAACACUCUUGUUCCAGUAUCCACAACAUUCAGAAACUGACAGCCCUGGUGAGCAGGAAAGACUCAAGAACUGGCUCCAGGACAGAUCAGAUGGAAGCCAUUCUUAAACGAACGUAAUGAUGUAUGGAAGUAAAACAUUAUUUUGGAACUAAAAGUUUAAAUAUAUAUAACAGUAACGAAGGCAGGAGAUCUGCGUUGGGAAUGCCAGCACACUUGCUGCUUCCAAGGUUUUAUUUUAAAGUCAGGAUACUGGAAAUGCUGUUCAGCAUGUUUCCAAUGAGCUGCUAGGCCCCCUGGAAGUGCUAAGGCCAUGUUUACUGAGAAACUGCAUGGUAGGUCCUGCUGGAGGUUAUUUGGGGGCUACUGACAUCCACAAGGUUUCACUUUGGUGGCUGAACUCUGUGCAAAGCCAUCCAAGGACAGAGCCUGUAGGAUGAAGAGGUUUCUCCUUUCUGGGCAAUAAUGGGAGCAAAAGCCCUGGAAGGACUCACUGCACCUGCAGCUGCCCCGCCUGUGUCAGUGCCCCUGGGACAGCAGUGUCCCCAUUCUGCUCCUUUCCAGGGACUCUCUUGCCUUCCUUGGCACUGCAGGGCAGUGUCCCAGCCCCUCUCAGCCCCUCACUGCUUCUGCUGCAGCAGGUCAGAGGUGUUUCUGGGUACGACACACCUACAGGGAUGGAUCCACUGCUCCCACCAUGCUGCUGGGAUGUUUUUGUUAUUGUUGUGAUUAACUUUCUGCUGUUGACUUCCGCCUGUGGGCUUGUAAACUCAAGCUGUCCAUUUGCUACAGGUCUCAAGGCAUCAUCUUACAAGGAGGGAAAGAAUUUUCAUUUAUAAUCCAUGAGACCUAUUCAGGGAUGGGUUGUCCUCCCCCUCCCUGUGCCAAUAGACCUCUAAGUGAACAAACAAAUGUCUGGAAAUACAGGCAAUUUAGCUCAGAAGAGAUAUCAUCAGUGGGGUUCAGAGGUUAAUGGGCAUGGAGGAUUUAUAACAACCCAGGCCUAUAAAAAAAAAAAGGGGGGGGGGGGAGAAAAAAGGAAGAGGAGAAAAGAAAAAAAGGAGUGGGUAGUAAUCUAGUUGACAUCUAUUGUUCUUUGUGUAACAGCUCAUCUGUAUUCUAUCUGGUCCAGGGUAUUGCAAAGAGAAUUUAAAAACACAUGUGUGCAAACACACACACACACAUCUAUCUCUAUAUAUAUAUAUGUGCACAUAUAAACUGAAAUAUAAUGAGGGAAAAAGCCCCUGUAAGUUUGAACCAACAACAGCAACCCAUAUAUCUUUAUUUGCUGCCAACAUCCAAGUGCUGAACUCUCAAGGAGCCUGGAUCUCUGCCAUCAUCUGUCCGUGUCUGAUCUCUUUGGUAAAUACGACGGCUGCCAAGAAUGAGGCAAACGAAAAGCGCUCGCAGAUUAGGGAGAAACACAUGGCAGCCACUGACCUGCUGAAAUCAUAAAAUACGUCAUGAAGUAAGGAAAGAGGGGAAACAAAUCAUCCUCUUAGGGACUGCCCAUCUGCUCACAUAAAGCCACAAUCAUUAUUGCAAAUAAAUACGUGCAGACCGGAGAAGUCUGGGAAUAAUUUGAGGGAGGUGGGUACCUUUGUGUGGUGUGUGUGUGUGUUUGGAACCCUCUGGAAAUUUUCCUACAUAAACAAGGUGAGAUCAUCAGCCAGAAAUAGAUACCUAUCAAUUAAUUAUGUAGGGAGCAAAUCCUUAUUUUAUGGGCACAAUUAGGGAAAAAAAAUUCCAAGACAGGAUGGGGCCAUAGCGUUAGAAAGGGACCCCUGUGGAAAUUGCAGGUCCA
Passer domesticus (house sparrow) is the source of this 4036-nucleotide long non-coding RNA. RefSeq lists it as uncharacterized. The transcript is spliced from 2 exons. Lineage: Eukaryota; Metazoa; Chordata; Aves; Passeriformes; Passeridae. The record is from RefSeq and is a predicted model, not a curated record.